UACGUAGGGGGCAAGCGUUGUUCGGAUUUACUGGGCGUAAAGCGCACGUAGGCGGCUUCUUAAGUCGGUGGUGAAAUCCUGGAGCUCAACUCCAGAACUGCCUUCGAUACUGGGAAGCUCGAGUCCGGGAGAGGUGAGUGGAACUGCGGGUGUAGAGGUGAAAUUCGUAGAUAUUCGCAAGAACACCAGUGGCGAAGGCGGCUCACUGGCCCGGUACUGACGCUGAGGUGCGAAAGCGUGGGGAGCGAACAGG
This 253-nucleotide ribosomal RNA is filed under the name uncultured bacterium. Its description in RNAcentral is "partial 16S ribosomal RNA". It matches the Rfam family "Bacterial small subunit ribosomal RNA", at positions 524 to 776 of the family's 1533-position model. The record is from RNAcentral.